GAUGAACGCUAGCGGCAGGCUUAAUACAUGCAAGUCAAGGGGGUAGCAAUACAACCGGCGCACGGGUGAGUAACACGUACACAACAUACCAUAUACUGAGGUAUAGCUUCGGGAAACUGAAGGUAAUCCCUCAUAGUAUUGUGAAAGGGCAUCUUUUUACAAUUAAAGUUUCGACGGUAUAUGAUUGGUGUGCGUUUGAUUAGCUAGUUGGUAAGGUAACGGCCUACCAAGGCGACGAUCUGUAGCUGGUCUGAGAGGAUGGCCAGCCACACUGGAACUGAGACACGGUCCAGACUCCUACGGGAGGCAGCAGUGGGGAAUAUUGGACAAUGGGGGCAACCCUGAUCCAGCCAUGCCGCGUGUGUGAAGAAGGCCUUCGGUUG
Molecule: ribosomal RNA, 383 nt
Filed under: uncultured bacterium
Lineage: Bacteria
Description: bacterial SSU rRNA
Rfam family: Bacterial small subunit ribosomal RNA
Source: RNAcentral